UUUUGCUAGUCAUAAAACCACUAGUGAAUAAGGGGUGGGCAAGUUCUGGUGUCAGCCGCCGCGGUAAAACCAGCACCUCAAGUGGUCGGGGUGAUUAUUGGGCCUAAAGCAUCCGUAGCCGGCUCUGUAGGUCCUCUGUUAAAUUCAUGCGCUCAACGUAUGGGCUGCCGAAAAUACUGUAGAGAUAGGGAGUGGGAGAGGUAGAGGUACUCGGGAGGAAGUGGUAAAAUGCUUUGAUCUCUCGAUGACCACCUGUGGCGAAGGCGGUCUACCAGAACAUGUCCGACGGUGAGGGAUGAAAGCUGGGGGAGCAAACCGGAUUAGAUACCCGGGUAGUCCCAGCUGUAAACUAUGCAAACUCAGUGAUGCACUGGCUUGUGGCCAGUGCAGUGUUGCAGGGAAGCCGUUAAGUUUGCCGCCUGGGAAGUACGUACGCAAGUAUGAAACUUAAAGGAAUUGGCGGGGGAGCACCACAAGGGGUGAAGCCUGCGGUUCAAUUGGAUUCAACGCCGGAAAUCACUAGUGAAUU
Molecule: ribosomal RNA, 529 nt
Filed under: uncultured crenarchaeote
Lineage: Archaea; Thermoproteati; Thermoproteota
Description: bacterial SSU rRNA
Rfam family: Archaeal small subunit ribosomal RNA
Source: RNAcentral